Molecule: ribosomal RNA, 644 nt
Filed under: Candidatus Jettenia moscoviensis
Lineage: Bacteria; Pseudomonadati; Planctomycetota; Candidatus Brocadiia; Candidatus Brocadiales; Candidatus Brocadiaceae
Description: bacterial SSU rRNA
Rfam family: Bacterial small subunit ribosomal RNA
Source: RNAcentral
GGGUGAGUAAUGCAUUGAUAACCUACCUAUGAGACGGGGAUAACAACGUUCCGCAAGGGACUCCCGAAAGGGUUGCUAAUACCCGAUAAAACUCUUGGUGCUUAGGCAUUGAGAGUCAAAGUUUGGGGCUGAAAGGUUCCACAUGCUCAGAGAGGGGUCAAUGUCCUAUCAGCUAGUUGGUAGGGUAAAGGCCUACCAAGGCGAAGACGGGUAGCCGGCCUGAGAGGGUGGUCGGCCACACUGGGACUGAGACACUGCCCAGACUCCUACGGGAGGCUGCAGUCGAGAAUCUUUCGCAAUGCCCGGAAGGGUGACGAAGCGACGCCGCGUGUGGGAAGAAGGCCUUCGGGUUGUAAACCACUGUCGGGAGUUAAGAAGUGUAAGGGGGUUAAUAGUCUCCUUGCUUGACGUUAGCUCCGGAGGAAGCCACGGCUAACUCUGUGCCAGCAGCCGCGGUAAUACAGAGGUGGCAAGCGUUGUUCGGAAUUAUUGGGCGUAAAGAGCACGUAGGCGGCCCUACAAGUCAGUUGUGAAAUCCUUCUGCUCAACGGAAGAACGGCAGUUGAUACUAUAGGGCUCGAGUGCGGGAGGGGAGAGUGGAACUUCUGGUGGAGCGUUGAAAUGCGAAAAUAUCAAAGGAACAU